This 253-nucleotide ribosomal RNA is filed under the name uncultured bacterium. RNAcentral describes it as "partial 16S ribosomal RNA". It matches the Rfam family "Bacterial small subunit ribosomal RNA", at positions 524 to 776 of the family's 1533-position model. The record is from RNAcentral.
UACGUAGGGUGCAAGCGUUGUCCGGAAUUAUUGGGCGUAAAGAGCUCGUAGGCGGUCUGUCGCGUCUGCUGUGAAAAUCCAGGGCUUAACCCUGGACCUGCAGUGGGUACGGGCAGACUAGAGUGCGGUAGGGGGGAUCGGAAUUCCUGGUGUAGCGGUGAAAUGCGCAGAUAUCAGGAGGAACACCGGUGGCGAAGGCGGGUCUCUGGGCCGAUACUGACGCUGAGGAGCGAAAGCGUGGGGAGCGAACAGG